RNAcentral lists this ribosomal RNA (510 nucleotides) under uncultured bacterium. Its description in RNAcentral is "partial 16S ribosomal RNA". It matches the Rfam family "Bacterial small subunit ribosomal RNA", at positions 28 to 507 of the family's 1533-position model. The record is from RNAcentral.
GACGAACGCUGGCGGCGUGCUUAACACAUGCAAGUCGAACGAAGAGCGAUGGAAGCUUGCUUCUAUCAAUCUUAGUGGCGAACGGGUGAGUAACGCGUAAUCAACCUGCCCUUCAGAGGGGGACAACAGUUGGAAACGACUGCUAAUACCGCAUACGAUCUAAUCUCGGCAUCGAGGAUAGAUGAAAGGUGGCCUCUACAUGUAAGCUAUCACUGAAGGAGGGGAUUGCGUCUGAUUAGCUAGUUGGAGGGGUAACGGCCCACCCAGGCGAUGAUCAGUAGCCGGUCUGAGAGGAUGAACGGCCGCAUUGGGACUGAGACACGGCCCAGACUCCUACGGGAGGCAGCAGUGGGGAAUCUUCCGCAAUGGACGAAAGUCUGACCGAGCAACGCCGCGUGAGCGAUGACGGCCUUCGGGUUGUAAAGCUCUGUUAAUCGGGACGAAAGGCCUUCUUGCGAAUAGUGAGAAGGAUUGACGGUACCGGAAUAGAAAGCCACGGCUAACUACGUG